UACAGGUGCUGCAUGGCUGUCGUCAGCUCGUGUCGUGAGAUGUUGGGUUAAGUCCUAUAACGAGCGCAACCCUUACCCUUAUUUGCCAGCGGUUCGGCCGGGAACUAUAAGGGAACUGCCGGUAAUAAGCCGGAGGAAGGUGGGGACGACGUCAAGUCAUCAUGGCCCUUACAUGUAGGGCUACACACGUGCUACAAUGGGAGAUACAAACGGUUGCCAAAGCGCGAGCUGGAGCUAAUCCGAUAAAGUCUCUCGUAGUCCGAAUUGCAGUCUGAAACUCGACUGCAUGAAGCCGGAAUCGCUAGUAAUCGCGGAUCAGCAUGCCGCGGUGAAUACGUUCUCGGG
This 345-nucleotide ribosomal RNA is filed under the name uncultured Gammaproteobacteria bacterium. RNAcentral's name for it is "bacterial SSU rRNA". It matches the Rfam family "Bacterial small subunit ribosomal RNA", at positions 1033 to 1378 of the family's 1533-position model. The record is from RNAcentral. Lineage: Bacteria; Pseudomonadati; Pseudomonadota; Gammaproteobacteria.